This 19-nucleotide transfer RNA is filed under the name Saccharina japonica. Its description in RNAcentral is "partial tRNA-Met". The record is from RNAcentral. Lineage: Eukaryota; Phaeophyceae; Laminariales; Laminariaceae.
GGCGGUGUAGUUCAGUGGU